GACGAACCGAGGCGAACGUUAUUCGGAAUCGACUGGGCUUAAAGGGCGCGUAGGCGGGCCGUCAAGUCGAGGGUGAAAUCCCCAGCUACAACUGGGGAAGUGCCUCCGAUACUGGACGGCCUCGAGGGGGAUAGGGGCAUGCGGAACUUCCGGUGGAGCGGUGAAAGUGCGUAGAUAUCGGGAAGGAACACCGGUGGCGAAAGCGGCGUGCUGGAUCCUUCUG
RNAcentral lists this ribosomal RNA (223 nucleotides) under uncultured bacterium. RNAcentral's name for it is "partial 16S ribosomal RNA". It matches the Rfam family "Bacterial small subunit ribosomal RNA", at positions 524 to 742 of the family's 1533-position model. The record is from RNAcentral.